Molecule: transfer RNA, 85 nt
Organism: Crocosphaera watsonii WH 8501
Lineage: Bacteria; Bacillati; Cyanobacteriota; Cyanophyceae; Chroococcales; Aphanothecaceae
Rfam family: tRNA
About the family: Transfer RNA (tRNA) molecules are approximately 80 nucleotides in length. Their secondary structure includes four short double-helical elements and three loops (D, anti-codon, and T loops).
Source: Rfam
GGAGAGGUGGCAGAGUGGUUGAAUGCGGCAGUCUCGAAAACUGCUUUGUCGCAAGGCAACGAGGGUUCGAAUCCCUCCCUCUCCG